This 180-nucleotide ribosomal RNA is filed under the name uncultured Escherichia sp. Its description in RNAcentral is "partial 16S ribosomal RNA". It matches the Rfam family "Bacterial small subunit ribosomal RNA", at positions 902 to 1081 of the family's 1533-position model. The record is from RNAcentral. Lineage: Bacteria; Pseudomonadati; Pseudomonadota; Gammaproteobacteria; Enterobacterales; Enterobacteriaceae.
CAAAUGAAUUGACGGGGGCCCGCACAAGCGGUGGAGCAUGUGGUUUAAUUCGAUGCAACGCGAAGAACCUUACCUGGUCUUGACAUCCACAGAACUUUCCAGAGAUGGAUUGGUGCCUUCGGGAACUGUGAGACAGGUGCUGCAUGGCUGUCGUCAGCUCGUGUUGUGAAAUGUUGGGUU